This 468-nucleotide ribosomal RNA is filed under the name uncultured bacterium. Its description in RNAcentral is "partial 16S ribosomal RNA". It matches the Rfam family "Bacterial small subunit ribosomal RNA", at positions 28 to 507 of the family's 1533-position model. The record is from RNAcentral.
GACGAACGCUGGCGGCGUGCUUAACACAUGCAAGUCGAACGGAAAGGCCCUGCUUUUGUUGGGUUCUCGAGUGGCGAACGGGUGAGUAACACGUGAGUAACCUGCCCUUGACUUUGUGAUAACUUCAGGAAACUGGGGCUAAUACCGGAUAGGAGCUCCUGCUGCAUGGUGGGGGUUGGAAAGUUUCGGCGGUUGGGUAUGGACUCGCGGCUUAUCAGCUUGUUGGUGGGGUAGUGGCUUACCAAGGCUUUGACGGGUAGCCGGCCUGAGAGGGUGACCGGCGAAAAUGGGACUGAGAGACGGCGCAGACGGGUACGGGAGGCAGCAGGGGGGAAUAUUGCACAAUGGGCGGAGGCGUGAUGAAGAAAAGGGGGGUGCGGGAUGACGGCCUUCGGGGUGUAAACAGAUGUAGAAUGAGACGAAGAGUGAGUGACGGUAAUGGGUAAAGAAGCACCGGCUAACUACGUG